UACGGAGGGUGCGAGCGUUAAUCGGAAUUACUGGGCGUAAAGAGUGCGUAGGUGGUUUAGUGUGUUAGAUGUGAAAUCCAUGGGCUCAACCUGUGAAUUGCAUUUAAAACUGCUAGGCUAGAGUGUUGUAGAGGGUGGCGGAAUUUCCAGUGUAGCGGUGAAAUGCGUAGAUAUUGGAAGGAACACCAGUGGCGAAGGCGGCCACCUGGACAAACACUGACACUGAGGCACGAAAGCGUGGGUAGCGAACAGG
This 253-nucleotide ribosomal RNA is filed under the name uncultured bacterium. RNAcentral's name for it is "partial 16S ribosomal RNA". It matches the Rfam family "Bacterial small subunit ribosomal RNA", at positions 524 to 776 of the family's 1533-position model. The record is from RNAcentral.